This 1037-nucleotide long non-coding RNA is filed under the name Gossypium barbadense (sea-island cotton). RNAcentral's name for it is "long non-coding RNA (GBAR_LNC015166)". Lineage: Eukaryota; Viridiplantae; Streptophyta; Magnoliopsida; Malvales; Malvaceae. The record is from RNAcentral.
AAAGUUUCAAUGAGAAAAUUGAUUUUGCUUCAUCGGUUACUGGUUGUUCUUAGUCUUCCAUCUUUUUCAUUGUUUUUCUUUGCUGUUUUGUGAGCUUAUGCUCUGUGAAGUUUCAUUUUUCUUUGUUUGCUGCUGCCAUUGUUCUAACAGAUUCUUUCAAAGCUCGCAGAAAUUUAUUUCGCUUCCCAGAUAAAUUUACUAGUUAUCAAUUUGUCAAUGCAUGUCGCUUUAAGCUUCUUUAUUACCGCCAAGGAGUCGCCUUCUACUUCCACAAACCGGAAACCCAUCUCCUGAGUGAAUCUGAUUGCUUAGGUACUUGCUAAGGCCUCUGCAGUUAGAACAUCAAGUAUGUAACGAUUCCAUAAGCAAGUUGUGUCCAUAAUAAAUCCUUCAUUGUUUUUUUAGGAUAAUACAUGUACUUGAUGCUUCUAGAUCCUUGUUGAAGCUUACAUCGAAGUUUACCCGAACAAAAGGCUCCAAAGGAGGUCGCCACCCUAUUGACUCUGUAACUGUUCUCUUGUUAGUGUUUCUAAUUCUCUAGCAUAACCCAAUACAAAGGUAAAAGUCUCAAAACUUGUUUGCUGUUUGCUUUCAUGCACCAACCUAUUCCUUGAGAGCUAAAUUGCCCAAAUUGCUACAAUAAUAAUUAGCUUUUGAUAAUUGCUCCUCCCAUUGAAUAAUUGUCCAACCGACUUACCAAAGAGUGCUCUACUUGGCUUAUCACCCAAUUGAUUCCCAAUUUGUACCAAACCUGUAAGGCUAUUGUGCAAUCUAAGCAUGUUUUUAGACUGCAAAGUAAGGGAAGAAUAGGUCUCUUCGAUUGGGUGCCAUGCUAUCUACCAAUUCAAUUCACAAGCUCAUGAUCUAAAUUUGUAGAGAUUUGAAAAUAUAGUUCGGUUGAUUAAUAAUAUAACAUUUCAUUUUACAUCAUAUUUUACCUUAAAAUGUUACCUUAAAUUUUUCUUAAAAAUUACAUUCGUGAAACUUGAUUUUAAAAUUAAUAUAAAGUAUUUGAUAAAUGCAUUUCACUUUUGUUG